AUGGUGAAACCGCGAAUGGCUCAUUAAAUCAGCUAUUGUUCCUUAGAUCUUACGCUGUUACAUGGAUAACUGUGGUAAUUCUAGAGCUAAUACAUGCCAUUAUAUCUCUAUCGAAAGAAGGGAUGGAUUUAUUAGAACAAAACCAACCAGCACUUUGUGUUGCUAGUUUGGUGGCUCUGGAUAACUUUCCUGAUCGCAUAGCCUUGUGCUAGCGACGUAUCUUUCAAAUGUCUGCCCUAUCAACUAUCGAUGGUAGGAUAGAGGCCUACCAUGGUAAUGACGGGUAACGGGGAAUCAGGGUUCGAUUCCGGAGAGGGAGCCUUAGAAAUGGCUACCACAUCUAAGGAAGGCAGCAGGCGCGCAAAUUACCCACUCUCAGUUAGAGGAGGUAGUGACGAAAAAUAACGAUGCAGGACUCGUUUGAGGCUCUGCAAUUGGAAUGAGUACAAUUUAAAUCCUUUAACGAGGAUCAAUUGGAGGGCAAGUCUGGUGCCAGCAGCCGCGGUAACUCCAGCUCCAAUAGCGUAUAU
This 530-nucleotide ribosomal RNA is filed under the name Polycystididae sp. 214386041. RNAcentral's name for it is "SSU rRNA". It matches the Rfam family "Eukaryotic small subunit ribosomal RNA", at positions 78 to 604 of the family's 1831-position model. Lineage: Eukaryota; Metazoa; Platyhelminthes; Rhabdocoela; Polycystididae. The record is from RNAcentral. RNAcentral also lists the same sequence under 2 other names.